Molecule: non-coding RNA, 583 nt
Organism: Cherax quadricarinatus
Lineage: Eukaryota; Metazoa; Arthropoda; Malacostraca; Decapoda; Parastacidae
Source: RefSeq, a predicted model, not a curated record
ACAGGUUUUGAGCGAGGUGACGGGGUGUUUGGUCCACUCAUCGUACACCAACCUGUCUCCAAAGACCCCAACCAGUUUUUGGCAGAGCACCUCCUUACCAUCAACGACUGGUUCCACAAGACGACACAAGCAAUAUAUGCCAACAAAAACAGUGACGGACGCGAUCCACACCUGAUUCACUCCUCAUCAAUGGAAGAGGCCCACAGCAGCACCUAGAGGACACCGUCAAGACCCCUCGGGUUCCCUACGCUAAGUUCCUGGUUGAGAACGGUACCCGUUACCGCCUGCGCAUCAUCAACGCUGCCAUCGCCCACUGCCCCGUGACUGUGACAAUAGACAAUCACGACCUCAUUCUCCUAGCAGCUGACGGUGCAUCAGUCUCUCCCGUCAACACUUCAGCGAUACUCAUCCACCCAGGGGAACGAUACGACGCUAUGUUCUCAGCUGAGCAUGACCCCAACGCCUCAGGUGGGACGUACUGGAUUAGAGUCACCGGGGGCGGCCAUUGUGCCGGUCUCCAUCAAUACGCUGCACUACAGUACCUCCCUUCCAACUUCACAGACUUCCAGCAGCUGCCAGCUAU